Long non-coding RNA from Arabidopsis thaliana (thale cress), 710 nucleotides. RefSeq annotates it as other RNA. The transcript has a single exon. The record is from RefSeq. NCBI's taxonomy places the organism in Eukaryota, Viridiplantae, Streptophyta, Magnoliopsida, Brassicales, Brassicaceae.
AAAGCUAGUUAGAGAUUAGAAUGUUUCUAGCUUUGUAACAAGCUCUUGAAUAAAUAUAGUUUUGAAUUUUAUUGAUCAUCCUUCAAAGUCCACUUAGCAGUACACUAGUGUGUCCAAAACUCAAACUCAUUCUCAUUGGACCACAAACUUAUAAAGAUGAACAAACCCAUAACAAUAAUUUCAUUACAUCCAUUUUAUAUAUGUCCUUAUGCUCCACCAUACCAUCAGAUCAACAACUAUAUAUGAUAGCUGAGACAAACAAAUGUAGUGAAAGAAUUAGUCAUAAGAAAAAAACCAGUGACUUUAUGGUCACCACACCCCUUCCUAACAUCCCUUCUUCUCACUGCCGAUCAUCGUCAAACCUUCUCCGGCCAACGUCUCAAUGUUAUCCGGUGACUUUAUGGUCACCACACCUCCGCGAUUCUCUCUCACCGCAUGUCUGUUCCUCGACAACAAAACCUAAGGUUUCUUCUCGGACUCGUUCUGCUCAUGACGGCGUCAUUGCUCUCUCACGACGUUGUCGAAAACACGAGCCACUCUCCGGCGAGAAUCUCGACGUCUUUCUUGUCGCCUAUCUCUGAACACCACUAGAGCUCACGACAAGCUUUCUCUGCCAAACCCAGAUUUCAACAGAAAUCUUACAUCUUCUUCUCUUUUCAACUUCAGCGAAUCUAUGUCUCUAAACGAGCAUAGCAUUCCAUCUUCCUUGA